This 68-nucleotide transfer RNA is filed under the name Terebellum terebellum. RNAcentral's name for it is "tRNA-Phe". It matches the Rfam family "tRNA". Rfam says of the family: Transfer RNA (tRNA) molecules are approximately 80 nucleotides in length. Their secondary structure includes four short double-helical elements and three loops (D, anti-codon, and T loops). Lineage: Eukaryota; Metazoa; Mollusca; Gastropoda; Littorinimorpha; Seraphsidae. The record is from RNAcentral.
GCUUUGGUAGCUUAUAAAUUAGAGCAUAGCACUGAAGAUGCUAGGGAAGCGAUUCACGCUCCGAAGCA